Molecule: non-coding RNA, 2114 nt
Organism: Chrysemys picta bellii (western painted turtle)
Lineage: Eukaryota; Metazoa; Chordata; Testudines; Emydidae
Source: RefSeq, a predicted model, not a curated record
UGCCCUGUAACCAGGGUGCAAGUCACCUCCCCCUGGCUUUCGAGUGAAUUGAGCUCUUCGGUAACGUGAGCAAUGUGACCGCCCUGUAACUAGGGUCCAGGUCUUUGCCCACUUGCUCGUUUGGCAUUACGCCGUGCUCUGGCCCACUAGUCAGCAUGACAACCCUGUAAUCAGGGUGCAUGUCACAAGUAUCCAUAGAAUCGGACAUAUUGUGCCCUUUGAUACUUUGAGGAGCUUGACCUUCCUGUAAUUCAGGUUACGGUCUCUGCUAUUUGGAUAAUCCCAGUGACCACCCUCUAAUCAGGGUACAGGUUGCAUCUCUCUUUUGAAAUCUGGGGGAUUAGAACUAUGGGCAGCUUGACCUCCCUGUAACUAGGGUUUGGUCUCCGAGGCCCUUUGAGUCUCUUGGCAUUGUGCUUUCUUCACAGUGUGAGGUGAGUGACCAACCUGUAAUCAGGGAAUCUGGUCUUUGCCUUGAGUCUCUUGGCAGUCGGCCGAGUACAGCCAGCUGGUCUGCAUGAGCACCCUGUAAACAGGGUACAGGUCUCAUCAGACACUAUUUAUGGUGCCCCCAUGAAACUGUGUCCAGAGUCCUGGCCCUUCGCACUGCACUUCCAACUUGCCGGGAAUUCUGCAGCCAAGUCUCCUGCUUUCUUCCUCACGUACUGUGCUCUUGGAGACCCAACAUCCUGCUCACGUUGCAGAAUUUCAAAUGGCAUUGCAAGUCUGCUAUAACUGUCUUGCACACUCUUUACAUCCUCUUAAGAGAAUUGGACAAAACAGAAGCAGCCAACUUAAAAACAAGAAAAGAGAUGCUAACCACCUGUGAAGAAGAAGAAAGGAAACAAAUUCUGAGAGUAAAGUACAGUUGUGUGAUCUAUUUCAAAGAUUUGUCACUAAGCACCAAGGAAUAAUUGUGAAUCUGUAAUGCAGAGACCUUAAUCACGCAAGCACUAUAGGAUCAUAGCUCACUAUUAUUAAAAAUAAAUAAUAAUUUCCUAUUGGAAAUACAAAGAUGUAACUGAAGGGAAGGCAUGUGUUUGUAUUCUCCACUCAUCCUCAAUUCCUCUCUUCACCCCCCCCCAAAUUCAAAAAUAAUUAUGGUGGAAAGAUUAACAUUUACUCCAGGUAACACCCACCUUAAUAUUUUAAAGCUCUGUAUCUCUCACACAUUGCUAAAAAACAAGCAAACAAAAUUAAAUGUUCUGGAAACUGGCAGUUACUCCUCCAACUUCACAACUUUCAAACAUCUACUCUACUUCAACGGUCACACCAACCAAACUGUACCACACAUUCAAUUUUAACUUUGCACCUAUUGUGUCAGAACAGUUAGAGUAUUUUUUGGUAGUUGUGUAUAUUGAUGUACGUGGUAAUAGUGGUGUUUUAAUAGGUUUUUAUGCUUAGUGAAUUAAGAGGAUGUUGGAGGAUGAUGAUGUGGAUGUUUUAUGUAGGUAUUUUUCUGUUGUUAGUAUUUGUGUAGAGGUGAAGUAUUUUGUGGUGAUGACUGUUUUUCAGGUAUUGGUUUAGUGUGAAUUGUUGAAAAAUUUAGAUGAUUUUUGCAUAUGUACAUUAUUAGAUGGACUUAGAGGGCAACGUUGAGGUUGCCUGUUUGGUGCAAUUUUAUUGGUGUGAAAGUUAAUAAAUAAAUAAAAAUAAAGUUAAUUUAGAGUACGUGUUUGAAAGCCCUGAUGUUUGAAUUUUAAGCUCAACAGGGAUCCAGGACCCACCUCAGUUCUUACUGUCAUUCCUAAUUCCAAAAUCUGGGAUGAAGAUGACCCGGCAGAAUAAAGAUAUCUCCAGAGACUUUCAGGAGUUUAGCAUUUCUGCAGCUUUACGGGAUUCCUUAAAUCUUAUUGAGUUUUACGAAGUGUAAUAAUUGUGGGAAACUUCUGCUUCUGCCAGUUAAGUGUUGAACAAUGACCUAUAUUAAGAGAUUUAUACUGACAGUUAAUUCUGUUCUGUACUAAGAUGAUUUUGCUAAUAUCUCCACUUUAUGAUGUGUGAAAUGAGUUAACUAGGUUUGAUUAUACCUACUUGACAAAAGUUGGAAUACUUCAUGUUUAAUUCAUAGAUUUAACUUUGACUGUCAUACCACAUUACUUUGCUUUCUGUAA